Molecule: long non-coding RNA, 2658 nt
Organism: Brassica rapa (field mustard)
Lineage: Eukaryota; Viridiplantae; Streptophyta; Magnoliopsida; Brassicales; Brassicaceae
Source: RefSeq, a predicted model, not a curated record
AUUUACUUCGCAAAUAAUAGUAUAGAUUAUUAGUUAUUAUGAGAAUUUCAUUUACCUUUUAUUUAAUUCUUUUAACAUAUUAGAAUGAGUAAAAACAUAUCCUCCUUUUAAUGUAGGUUCAAAGAUCCAAAUUAGUCUUCUCCCAAAAACAACAUCUAGGGUUCAUGCGAUUCAAAGACGACUUUCUCCGACAACCAUUAAUAUCUCCGGCAAGACGAUUUUUUCUGGUGAACACAGAAAACCUACCUCAUUAUAGUUUUAUCGGCAUUUUGUAAUUAUUGUUUUUGUUAAUAAAAAAUUAGAGUAAAUUGGAUAUGAAAAACAAUCUAGUAAUUAAAAUAAAAUUUAAGUAGACCUGAUAAAUAAAAGUUAAACUAGUUUUUCCAAAAAUUUAACUGCAAAAAUAUAUAAACUGAUAAUUGCAGUAUAUGCAUAAAAGUUCCAUAUGACAAUCUAACAAUACUAAAAGCAGGAUAUUAAGCUCUCUAAGCACAUCCACGUAGGAUUGGAAAUUCAGGCCAAUCAGAGAUUGAAUUUCUGCCACGUCAUUUAUUUCCUGGAUCUAAACCGAAGGUCCUAUUUUGAGAUCCAUCGUCAAACCCUUCAUCUUCCUGCACUUUCUUUCAUCAAACGUAUAAAAAAAAUAUCACUCACGAAUAGAUCAAUGUUACAUUUCCUUCACUCCUUAAGGAAAAACCACAUUCAACACACAAUUUUGCCUUCAGUUCCAAAUUAAAUCUCUUCUAAACAUCUCUCUAUUACAUCUACCCUUUCAUUUCAAUCUGAAUCCAGCCGUUUCAUGUAUCUAUGAAAGCUCUCCUAUAAAUUUAGGGCCAAACACAACUAAACCCUCACCACAAUCCACCGCAAAAACAUGCCGUCAGCAGAUUCGUCUUUCUCAAUUCCCGUCUUCCUUUAUUGCUGAUCUUUAUCAUGAUUUAUGUCUAGGGUUCAUACAUCUCCCUCGACAGUCUCCAUCUGGAUUGAUUCAACGUAUUGGAUUGCAUAUAUGUUGGCUUACGAAGCUGAGAGUUUCAUUCAAGGGAAAUAAAAAGGACGCCACUGAAUUCUUGGAGGAGAUGAAUGAGAAAGAAACUACAGAGAUGAAAGAAAUCAUGGGUCUAAAGGGGAAUGGAGUUCUAUGUGUCUACCCUCGGGAAAAGAACAUCAAAAACGUGCUGUCCAUCUCAAAAGAGAAGAAGAAAGAGCACCAAAGAAUUCAAGCAGACUUUCUUUCUUAGUUUUGCUUUUAAGAUUUCAAGAAUAAAAUCAGGUUAGUCCUGUGGAUGGCACCGUUCUGAGGUUUGGGGAGUUAAAAGAAAGUAGAGGGAUGAACGAGCAAGUCAAAGGACAUUCCUACUCAGCAUCAGGUCUUCUCGGAACAAACUCUCCUUCCCAUGGUACCUAAAGGUAAGGAUGAAUCUGAGGAAGAAGCUGUUGCAGAUAAAAUCGACAAGUCUUGGUUGAGAAUCUCUUUGGCUUAUCCAAAACUACGGGAGAGCAUCUCAGCUAGAUCAGUGAAAUACUAGCACGUCUAAGCCGUGACUUUAGUGUCAAGAAAAUUUCAACUUAUAUGAUCGAGUUUUGUUGCAGUCCGAUGAAGGGGCUCUAUUAUUGUGUGAUAUACCUAAGACCAGGGGACUAUCAUCAUAUACACUCUCCAGCUGACUGGAAUGCAUUGGUUUGUAGACACUUUGCAGGGCGGUUGUUUCCUGUGAAUGAGUGUGCUACAAGAACUAUAAAAAAAUCUCUAUGUUGAAAAUGAAAGGGUCGUACUUGAAGGGAUAUGGAAACAAGGUUUUAUGGCACUUGCUGCUGAUGGUGCGACCAACAUUGGAUCCAUUGCGCUAUUCAUCGAACCUAGGAGCAGGUGUACGAUCCACAAGGUCAUGGCGUAAAGCUUGAGAAAGGAAAGGAGGUAGGUGUAUUCAACAUGGGAUCAACUGUGGUGGUUCAAGCAGUUCCUCGGAUUACAGAUUCUGUGUCAAACUCUGUUUGUUAAUGACAGUGUCUGAAUAUGACCGUUUGACAGGCUAAUAGCGGUUGAGUGUUGGAGCUACCUAGAUGCCUAGAAGAACUCGCUGGCAAGCAAUGCUUCUUUCAUGAUUCAAGUGAAACCAUACAAUUUCACUCCCAACCAUGGCACCUUCACGUACGAUGUCUGCAACUUCUGAGGACGUGUCUGUGAAACUCCUUUUUGUGCACUACGUGUCUGUGAAACUCAUUCAGAGAUAAACUAAGCUUAGUAAAGAAAACAUCUUCAACAGCAGUGAUUGAAAUAACACAUCUACUGAUUAGUUAUAGGUUGAAAGCAGCAACACAACUCCACAAGCGGCAUGGCAGAUUGCACAACCACCUGCUUCUGACACCAACCCGAUGGAUGGGCUACAAAAGGGAUGGACGUUGAUCAACCAACACCACCCAACUUUGGAGAUGAGGAGAAGAGCCGCAAACGCCCCUGGAGUGAUUGUUGGAAGUACUACAAUUCGUCUUUCCCACUAAGAUUUCUUUUCCUACAUUACAAGCUCUACGCAAUUGCUCUUUUCCGUCGUUUGUGUUUUUCCUAUUUUCUUUUUAAAAUUUCCUGCAACAAGCUCCAUCUGAGAACAGUGUUAUUUUAAUUUAAAUUAAAGGAAGUUUGACGGCUUAACAUGAUCA